CUCUGUUUGGCCUUUGUACGCAGCUACGAGAAGGCGCUCUGAAAGUGCAGCGACCGCAUCUUGCUGGCUCAUGAAUUAGGAAAGAAAGGUUUUCAGGGAAGCGGUAGACAAGUUCCUUCAGCUCAACACGAAGUCACUGGCCCGGCCUGGCACCCAGAGGUAAAGAAUAGCAGAAAAAGAGAGAGGAACUCUCGCAAACCCAUCCUGCUCCUGCUCACUGGGUCAUUAGAAACAAAACAGAUCUGGUGAAGGGUCUGCUGUAAAGCAGCUUGGUGUCAGAGCUGAUCCAAACAGUGAGACAAAAGUCUUGAGGUUAAAAGACAACGUCCUACUCUACUUUAACCCCGACUUGUCUUCACCGUGUUUUGCAAAGAGUAGAUACUCAUUAACCAGUUGGUGAGAGCUGUUUCUAUAUGACAAGAGACCUCUAGAAAAGUGGAAUCAGGUAACAUCACAGAAAGAGACAAGCAGCAACUAGACAGUGUGUCCUCCUGCUAAAAGUACGUAACGUCAGUUGUGAAGUAGUCCUGUCCCUCUCACCCAGAAAAAGCGCCCAACUCUGACGAAGCUUUCAGGAAAUCUAACUACCAAGCAUUAGAUCACACUUUGAGAAGCUCUGCUGUAAAAGACAAAAGACCUGAUUGCUUCAACAAAAACAGAAAAUUGCAAGGGGAAAAAUGAGAUGGAGAAGAAACGUAGAGAUUAAGAUUUAAGAGAUUUAUCACCCAAUGACUAUGACCUUUGGAUCCCAAUUAAAAAAACUUAAAAUGUUAUGUGACAAUUAAAAAA
This 789-nucleotide long non-coding RNA is filed under the name Homo sapiens (human). RNAcentral's name for it is "HSALNT0335601". The record is from RNAcentral. Lineage: Eukaryota; Metazoa; Chordata; Mammalia; Primates; Hominidae.